Molecule: ribosomal RNA, 755 nt
Filed under: uncultured ciliate
Lineage: Eukaryota; Ciliophora
Description: SSU rRNA
Rfam family: Eukaryotic small subunit ribosomal RNA
Source: RNAcentral
UCUCGAUGGUAGUGUAUUGGACAACAAUGGGCAUUCACGGGCAACCGGGGGAUUAGGGUUCGAUUCCGGAGAGGGAGCCUGGUAAACGGCUACCACUUCUACGGAAGGCAGCAGGCGCGAAAAUUAUCCAAUCCUGACUCAGGGAGGUAGUGAGACAAAUAAUGAACUGGGAUUAUUUUAUCCUGGGAUCACAAUGGGCUUGAUUUGCAAACUUGAUAUUAGCGAGGAACAAUUGGAGGGCAAGUCUGGUGCCAGCAGCCGCGGUAAUUCCAGCUCCAAUAGUGUAUAUUAACGUUCCUGCAGUUAUUCGAUGCUCGUAGUUGGGUUUCUGGGGGUGGAGACAGGAGGGUGGCUAUUGUCACCGCCCAGUCUUUUCCCUCGUCCGCCGGUUAACGGUGCUCGAGAUUGAGUUCUCGACACCGGGCUCCGGCACUUUGAUUUAAUUCUCUUGAGCAAAUUAUAGUGUUUCAGGCAGGCGUGCGCCGGAAUACAUUAGCAUGGAAUAAUCUUUUGGACCGUGUGUGGGCUUGCUCACAUUCCUUAUUUGUUGGUUUCUCAUUUUAAGGACACGGAAUGAUUGUAGGGAUAGUUGAGAGUUAUAUCUCAUGGGGGAGGCAUUAGUAUUUAGUUUCCGGAGGUGAGAUUCUUUGAGAUUCUUUAAGACUAACUUAUGCGAAAGCAUAUUUUUGCUGAGAAUGUUUUUAUUUUCUUAUCGAACAGAACGAAAGUUAGGGGAUCGAGUCGGUCGGAUCCUC